Molecule: non-coding RNA, 1981 nt
Organism: Benincasa hispida (wax gourd)
Lineage: Eukaryota; Viridiplantae; Streptophyta; Magnoliopsida; Cucurbitales; Cucurbitaceae
Source: RefSeq, a predicted model, not a curated record
UUAUGCUAGAGAGCUAGCGGGAAGAUUCAAUGCAAAUGUCUAGAUAGAAUCCUUCAGCAUAAUGCAAAUGUUUAGAACUAUAUGAAACGCUAUUGUGCCUAGUGGAGAUUACAUCUAGUUUAGUUAGGGCAUUUAGUCUUUAAUUAAUAUUUGGAUCUCGUCUAUUGAUUUAUUGUUGGAUGUUUAGAUUUUGUUAUUACUCCAUAGAACUACAUGUUGGAUUUGUGAUAUGUUUCCAUUUGUUAGGUAUUUUAUUCAUUGUAAGCUUUUCUUCAAGUAUUUAUAGAAAGAGUCUAACUCUAAGGACACGAGUCCUGAAAUAUAUCUCGAAAUUAAUCUUUAGAGUUCUCAUUUCUUAUUUGUUAGAUGGUUGUUAAGAGUUCUCCUUUCUUAUGCUAACUACUUGUGUUUGUUGGCUUUUGAAAUCACUUCUUUCGGUAGAUUUUGUGAUUUAUUGUGAUAUUUAUUUAGAUUGAUGGAAUUUAGAACUUUGCUGAGUUUUUGUUUUUUAGCUUUUCUUUUCAUUGAUAGGAACUGAGUCCAUGAAUCUGGAGGUAUAAGAAAUGACAUGACGUGUUGGUGACGUAAAUAUAAAGUUCUUUUUUCUUUUUCCUCCUUUUGUUUUCUGAUUGCUGAGGCUGAUAUUUACUCGAGCGGCCGUAGGGAUUUCAUUUCUUCACAGAUAGUUUGCUCCAGUUGCCACAUUCUUGUGAUUAUUCUUAUUUGAUUCAAGUGCUCAGAAGCAGUGUUAAAUAUAAAGCCUCUCAUUCAUAUUCAUUUCCAUAUUGUAAAGUAUAACUCUUUUCAAAAGUAACCUCCGACCUCCGAUUUGGCUUCUGUUCAUAUUCUUACUCUCAUUUGAUACUAACUGUUGUCACAAAUAACACAAUUCUUCUUAUGCUAAUAUUCUUUUCUUCUUCCUCCAAGUCUCUUAUGUUUUCAGGUUUCAAUUAUUGAUAGAAAUUUUGUACAAUUGAGAGAUAUUUGACUGAAUCAAGCUGGUGUAGCAGUGCUGUCUGGUUGCUGAUGUGGUUGUUGAUGUUGCUGUUGCUGCUGGCUGCUCCAACAGUUUGUAAAAAUAGGUCGAGUAUUCGGAAUGGGUAGGGAGGAGAUGGAUUUAUUGCAACAGCAAGGGAUUCACAUAAAAAUUGUUCGUGGUAAGUACAUUUUUGAAUGCUUGCAGUUUUAAGAACAGUUUCUAAGUGUUUUCAAGUGACUCUAAUGAUAUAGAAAUUCCUGUUUGAGAAGUUAUAGUGUGCUUAUUUCUCUUCGGAUCAUAUUGGAUUAGAAUGUAACACCCGUUUAUGAUUCAAGAUGCUUGAGUUUGUGGGUUGCACUAUGGUAGUUUGUGGGUUAUUCAUGCACUAUGGUAGUUUUUGUGACAACUUUUGAGAUUUGAAGUACAUUGUGAGCUAAAUUUUCUUAUUGAUGCAUGUGUUCUUGAAUAUUCAUUUUUUGGGAAUUUUGAUAGUUCUGUUGAGAACAAGUGGUUGUACAAUAUUUUUGGGAGUGUGUUUGUUUGAACAAGUUCAAAGUAAAUUUUUGGUUUUGUUGUGGUAGCAUCGCUAUGUUGCCGAAAAUUUUUCAUCGACUUCGUAUCUCAUAUUAGGUGCAACAAAGGAGUAAAGAUUUGACAUUGCAACCUCUUUAUGUUUUUUCUUGGGGAACUCUAUAUCCAACACAUUCACUAUAAGAAUUUUGCCUUUAAUGUAUCAUUUAUACACAUUCCCAAUAAACAAAGUUAGUUGAAUAUAAAUUCUGAUCACAUUUUCACUUUCAAUCAUUUGUCUUAAAUCUUUAUUGUUUAUGAUCUUUUGAACAACAGUGGUUAGACAAAGAUGCCUAUAACCAGAUAAUGUUGAAGCUGGGAGGUCUAUUCAAGAAGAAUUAUGAGGGAUCUAUACUUACCAAGUGGAGAGGGACAGUAAACUCAUAAUGUUUGUAUUACUUGUAAUUUUUGUUUUCAAAGCCUGAAUUAUUG